Molecule: ribosomal RNA, 228 nt
Filed under: uncultured Leptotrichia sp.
Lineage: Bacteria; Fusobacteriati; Fusobacteriota; Fusobacteriia; Fusobacteriales; Leptotrichiaceae
Description: partial 16S ribosomal RNA
Rfam family: Bacterial small subunit ribosomal RNA
Source: RNAcentral
GUUUAACGUACGGNGGGUAACAGAGGGAAACUUCUGAUAAUACUGGAUAAGUUAGUAUAUCGCAUGAUAUGCAAAUGAAAGCUACGGCACUAAAGGAGAGCUUUGCGUCCUAUUAGCUAGUUGGUAAGGUAAGAGCUUACCAAGGCGAUGAUAGGUAGCCGGCCUGAGAGGGUGGACGGCCACAAGGGGACUGAGAUACGGCCCUUACUCCUACGGGAGGCAGCAGCG